Molecule: unclassified non-coding RNA, 646 nt
Filed under: uncultured Prochlorococcus sp.
Lineage: Bacteria; Bacillati; Cyanobacteriota; Cyanophyceae; Synechococcales; Prochlorococcaceae
Description: partial 16S-23S ribosomal RNA intergenic spacer; may also contain 16S ribosomal RNA and 23S ribosomal RNA
Rfam family: tRNA (bases 305-377)
Source: RNAcentral
UUGUGGAGGAGGACGCCGAAGGUGGGGCUAAUGACUGGGGUGAAGUCGUAACAAGGUAGCCGUACCGGAAGGUGCGGCUGGAUCACCUCCUAACAGGGAGACAACAAAAUGUUUAAUAUUAUUAUUUUGUCACCUUAGGUCGAUCGGUAUCUCACGUUUUUAAUUUAUUAAGAAUUUCAUUUCCUAAGUUUUUCUAGGUCACACCCAUUAUUUUUCCUGGGCCAUUAGCUCAGGUGGUUAGAGCGCACCCCUGAUAAGGGUGAGGUCCCUGGUUCAAGUCCAGGAUGGCCCAUAUCUCUAUGUUGGGGGUAUAGCUCAGUUGGUAGAGCGCCUGCUUUGCAAGCAGGAUGUCAGCGGUUCGAGUCCGCUUACCUCCACUGAUUACCACCUCUUCCAUAACUGGUAGAAAGGAAAUGUUUUGAGUUGUGAUCAAAUUCUGAACGAAUCUAGCUUCCUAAUGAAAUCAUUAAGAUGCUGGACUCAUUGAAUUAAUUUCAUUGUUUUCAGAGAACCUUGACAACUGCAUAGAUUAUUUUAAAGACAAUAAGCAUCUUUAAUGAUGCAGAUUUAUUAUUUGUGCGAAUGCAUUAAUAACAAUUCUAUUAAGCUGAUGCUUCUAUUAAUGAAGUUAUUGGUCAAGCUACAA